RNAcentral lists this long non-coding RNA (291 nucleotides) under Capsicum annuum. RNAcentral describes it as "long non-coding RNA (CANN_LNC006680)". The record is from RNAcentral. Lineage: Eukaryota; Viridiplantae; Streptophyta; Magnoliopsida; Solanales; Solanaceae.
UAGCUCUAUGGCCAGUUUUACCACAAGUCCAGCAAAUAUCCUUAUUUUUAGAGGAUUUUCUCCUAGUUUUUCUACUAGAUUUAUAAGACUCCUUUUUUGAGGACUCUUUUCUAGGUUUGGACUUUCUAUGAGACUUAUAGGAUUUUUUCCUAUGUUUCUUACUAAAUGGAGAAGAAAGGUUAGCAAAUCCAAAAUCUUGACAGAAGGUUCCUAACCUGUAUUUGGAAGCACUGUCACUCUUAAGUUGCUUCUUAAGUUUUAGGUCUGUGUAAAGGUCUAUCCCUACGGUGG